Molecule: long non-coding RNA, 1170 nt
Organism: Labeo rohita (rohu)
Lineage: Eukaryota; Metazoa; Chordata; Actinopteri; Cypriniformes; Cyprinidae
Exons: 3
Source: RefSeq, a predicted model, not a curated record
UCAAAUCAACAAACUGCAGCAUAUUUUAAACUAUAAGUGGUCCUCAUGCAUUAUUGCGCCUAUGAUGCUAGAAUGUUAUGGGUGGUUGCUAGGGCGUUGCUAUGCGGUUGCCAGGGUGAGUGACUGUUAGAGUGUUGUUUUGUCAGAAAGAGCUCAGAAGAGUCUCUGUGAUGUUUCUCUCCAGAUACUGUGCUGUCAUAUUUCGGUUUGGGUUUUAUUCAAAUCACUAACCGUGAGUCUAAACUAGCUUUAGGGAGUAACAAAAAGAUUGUCGGUGUGAUUCUGGUCUCUCCACAUGCAGCGAGAGUCACCACGGGAACAACCUCCUGACAGCGGGACGAUCAAUUCACCUCAGAAUAACGAGUCUCCUCGCGGCUCACUCGAGAUUUUCCCCGCUCCAGCUGACACUCGGUAUUGGAUGAAUAUUUCAUGGGCGCAGAAGAGAAGAUAAAGAACAGGCUAACGACGCGUCCACUGGUGCGGAGACGAGCAGACGCUUGCCAUUCGUUCUCUAUGGGAGGCUCGCGCCGGGGAUUGUGGGAUUGAUCGCGUGCAUUCUGAACAUGCAGCAUUCAGACGUUGAUGGAUUGUUUUCCGUAUGCAGCCAGUGGUGACAUGAGCAGGAUGAAGGAUGGACACAGACCUGCAGUCUGACAGGAACCUGCUGAUGAUCAUUGAUCGCUCAUGAUGCCGAGGCAAUAUCUGCAUUACUAUGAGUAAUCAAACUUAUGCAAAUCAGAGGUUAUCAGUGCAAAAAUACUGGCCUGUGCUUUUUUUAUUGACUGUUUUUGUAAUAGAAUGCAGGGUUAUAACCAGAGUCAAUAUUUUUAUUAAAUAUAUAUAUAUAUAUAUUGUUUGUUUGUUUGUUUUUCAUUUUUGUACUUUCUGAUUUUGUUUUAAUUUUAGCUACAUUUUUAUUUUUAUUUAUUUAUUUUUAAAUUAAUUUUUAUUAAAAAUGUAAAAAAAAUAUGUCCUUAGCUGAAAUAAUUUUUAUUUAUUUGUUUCAUUAUUUUCUGACAGAAACCUGCUGCUGAUCAUUGAUCGCUCAUGAUGCCGAGGCAAUAUAUGCAUUACUAUGAGUAAUCAAACUUAUGCAAAUCAGAGGUUAUCAGUGCAAAAAUACUGACCUGUGCUUUUUUUAUUGACUGUUUUUGUAUGCAGGGUUAUAAC